GACGAACGCUGGCGGCGUGCCUAAUACAUGCAAGUCGAACGAACUGACGAGGAGCUUGCUCCUUUGAAGUUAGUGGCGGACGGGUGAGUAACACGUGGGUAACCUGCCUCACAGCUGGGGAUAACAUCGAGAAAUCGAUGCUAAUACCGAAUGUGCUGAACAUCAUAAGAUGUUCAAGUGAAAGACGGUUUCGGCUGUCACUGUGAGAUGGACCCGCGCUGGAUUAGCUAGUUGGUAAGGUAAUGGCUUACCAAGGCGACGAUCCAUAGCCGACCUGAGAGGGUGAUCGGCCACAUUGGGACUGAGACACGGCCCAAACUCCUACGGGAGGCAGCAGUAGGGAAUCUUCGGCAAUGGACGAAAGUCUGACCGAGCAACGCCGCGUGAGCGAAGAAGGCCUUCGGGUCGUAAAGCUCUGUUGUUAGAGAAGAACAAGGGUGAGAGUAACUGUUCACCCCUUGACGGUAUCUAACCAGAAAGCCACGGCUAACUACGUGCCAGCCGCCGC
RNAcentral lists this ribosomal RNA (508 nucleotides) under uncultured bacterium. RNAcentral describes it as "bacterial SSU rRNA". It matches the Rfam family "Bacterial small subunit ribosomal RNA", at positions 28 to 518 of the family's 1533-position model. The record is from RNAcentral.